UAUAAAUCUGUCAAACGUGCUAUUCCCGUCUCGUUUAUCUCCCGUUCCACCUACGGCAUCCGUUUUACUAUUUCGUACUAUUUAGUAUAUUCAUGUUCUGCACUAACAAUUGAAUACAAUUUUUAAUUAGUUAAUACUUUAACGACAAAACAUUUUAAAUAAUUAAAAUAACAGUUUAAAAUUAAGCUUGAUAAAUAGGCAGAUAAAACAUUUACUAAAAAUAAUCUAUACCUAUAAAAGUAAUAGAUUUACAGGUUUGGCACUUUUUUUGAGCUGCUUUUCCACGUAAUUGUCAGUGGCAUGUCCGUUCGAUGUCAGCGCCAGGACGACAUGUUCCUCAAAUUGUUAAAGGACCGCUCUAAUCCCCAGCUGCAGCUGGUGCAGGACCCUGCUCGGACGCCAGCUUUGACAGCCGCCGCUGAGGUGUGUGCCCCAAGUGCUUGGGAAUGCAAUACUGUCGCCAAAGAUAAUGAUGAUGAUUCAUUCAUUCAUAGCUAAGCUAGAAAAUCCUGAGGUCUGGGGUCUGGACUGAAUACUUGAAAUAAUCCAAAUGCCAAUUCUUGGCUGCUCGGGUGCCCACCCUAGUUGCAAGUGCCAGCUCGGGCGCCUAUCGGAAUGGCAAGCCCCUGAUCGGGCCCAAUGAUAUUCCAAAUAAAAUCCUAGUAAAAAGACUUUCAGUCCUAGAACAUGUUUAGCCAAUUGCAAAUUAUUAUUCGCUGGUCGGGCAUCCCGCCAAAUUGCACGUCCAGCCAAAUUGCUGCUCGGGCGCCUUCAAUGCUA
Molecule: long non-coding RNA, 780 nt
Organism: Drosophila montana
Lineage: Eukaryota; Metazoa; Arthropoda; Insecta; Diptera; Drosophilidae
Exons: 3
Source: RefSeq, a predicted model, not a curated record